Non-coding RNA from Cinara cedri, 708 nucleotides. The record is from the annotation of a GenBank genome assembly. NCBI's taxonomy places the organism in Eukaryota, Metazoa, Arthropoda, Insecta, Hemiptera, Aphididae.
CCCGUUCCAGCCCCCGUCCCCCCGUCCCGCCGACUUUGUCGUCGUUAUUGCGUAAAAUAACCGCGACCCCGCGCCCCCCCCCCCGCCACCGAAAAAAAAUGUUACGUUGUUUUUUUUUUUUUCUUUUUUUCCAACCACUACGCUACUACUACUUAAAUAAUGUUUAUCAUUUAUUGUUUAUUCUGUGUUUAAGCUUAUCGUGUACACCUAUGUAUUAUAUGUAUUAUUUUUUAAUAAGGACAGACGCAAUACGAGUAUAUAUAAAUAUUAUAAUAUACCAGCUAUAUCAUUAAUGUACCGACCGAGAUUUGUGUAAGGUGUUUUUUUUUUAUUAUAAUUUUUUUUUUUUUAUGUCUCGUUUAAUUAUUAAUGUCUUGUAUUUUACAGAUUAUUAUUAUUGUCACGCGAUUUUGUAUGAUUUUUUUUUUGUCCUACCCCCGCCCCCCCAACUUCCCCACCCCAUCCCACCCACCGGUGUCUGUGUGUUCGUAUACAACGACAAUGUCUGUACCGAUUUGUGUAUCAUUCGCCCGUCGCCCGUCCCCAGAUAACAACCCGUGCCCCCGUCGAACCCCCGUCCCCGUUAUGAUAUUAUAUGUUAUAUACGUAAAAAUUAUUAUAUUGUCGAAAACAAAAACCCACUGCGGUAUCACACGAUGUUUUACACGAUUCUUGUAUUAAAAUUGUAGUCUACAAAUUUGGUCUAUA